UACAGGGGGGGCAAGCGUUGUUCGGAAUUACUGGGCGUAAAGGGUUCGUAGGUGGCUUACUAAGUCAGACGUGAAAUCCCUCAGCUUAACUGGGGAACUGCGUCUGAUACUGGAUGGCUUGAGUUCGGGAGAGGGAUGCGGAAUUCCAGGUGUAGCGGUGAAAUGCGUAGAUAUCUGGAGGAACACCGGUGGCGAAGGCGGCAUCCUGGACCGACACUGACGCUGAGGAGCGAAAGCCAGGGGAGCAAACGGG
RNAcentral lists this ribosomal RNA (253 nucleotides) under uncultured bacterium. RNAcentral's name for it is "partial 16S ribosomal RNA". It matches the Rfam family "Bacterial small subunit ribosomal RNA", at positions 524 to 776 of the family's 1533-position model. The record is from RNAcentral.